Molecule: ribosomal RNA, 253 nt
Filed under: uncultured bacterium
Lineage: Bacteria
Description: partial 16S ribosomal RNA
Rfam family: Bacterial small subunit ribosomal RNA
Source: RNAcentral
UACGAAGGGGGCUAGCGUUGUUCGGAAUUACUGGGCGUAAAGCGCACGUAGGCGGAUAUUUAAGUCAGGGGUGAAAUCCCAGAGCUCAACUCCGGAACUGCCCUUGAUACUGGGUGUCUUGAGUGUGAGAGAGGUAUGUGGAACUCCGAGUGUAGAGGUGAAAUUCGUAGAUAUUCGGAAGAACACCAGUGGCGAAGGCGACUCGCUGGACAAGUAUUGACGCUGAGGUGCGAAAGCGUGGGGAGCAAACAGG